Camelus ferus (Wild Bactrian camel) is the source of this 73-nucleotide non-coding RNA. The record is from Rfam. Lineage: Eukaryota; Metazoa; Chordata; Mammalia; Artiodactyla; Camelidae.
GGAGGGGACAGCUCAGUGGUAGAGUGCAUGCUCAGUAUGCAUGAGGUCCUGGGUUCAAUCCCCAGUACUUCCA